UGCCUGUUCGAGCGUCAUU
This 19-nucleotide ribosomal RNA is filed under the name Botryosphaeria dothidea. Its description in RNAcentral is "partial 5.8S ribosomal RNA". The record is from RNAcentral. RNAcentral also lists the same sequence under 2 other names. Lineage: Eukaryota; Fungi; Ascomycota; Dothideomycetes; Botryosphaeriales; Botryosphaeriaceae.